Molecule: long non-coding RNA, 471 nt
Filed under: Ananas comosus (pineapple)
Lineage: Eukaryota; Viridiplantae; Streptophyta; Magnoliopsida; Poales; Bromeliaceae
Description: long non-coding RNA (ACOM_LNC018930)
Source: RNAcentral
AACCCUGAACCCUGAACCCUGAACCUGAGACCCUUGAACCCUGAACCCUGAAACCGCUGAACCUGAACCUGAACCCUGAUACCUGAACCUCGAACCUAGAACACGCUGAACCUUUGAACCUUGAAAACCCUAAAACCCUAAACCCUAAACCCCUAAAAACCCUAAAACCCUCAAACCCUAAAAACCCUGAAACCCCUCAAACCCUAAAAACCCUGAACCCUGAACCCUGAACCCUGAACCCUUAUUAGGAAUCUUUAAAAGAUAGCAUGAACCAAACGCACCCUUAGACCCAUAUAUUCCCAUGCAGAUUUUAGCCCUCACGGGAUUAAGAUAACCUUUGUACUAUCUGCUUAAAACUACUAAUUUUUAACCAUAUAAUAUUAGACGAAUAAUAUUAAUUUGAUUAGGAAAAAAAAUUACUAUAUAUUAUAUUUAAUGGCAUCGAUUAUCAAUGCAGAUACUUUGUCGCUG